UUGUACUGCAGUCGAGCGACAGAUAGGAGCUUGCUCCUUUGACGUUAGCGGCGGACGGGUGAGUAACACGUGGAUAACCUACCUAUAAGACUGGGAUAACUUCGGGAAACCGGAGCUAAUACCGGAUAACAUAUUGAACCGCAUGGUUCAAUAGUGAAAGGCGGCUUUGCUGUCACUUAUAGAUGGAUCCGCGCCGUAUUAGCUAGUUGGUAAGGUAACGGCUUACCAAGGCAACGAUACGUAGCCGACCUGAGAGGGUGAUCGGCCACACUGGAACUGAGACACGGUCCAGACUCCUACGGGAGGCAGCAGUAGGGAAUCUUCCGCAAUGGGCGAAAGCCUGACGGAGCAACGCCGCGUGAGUGAUGAAGGUCUUCGGAUCGUAAAACUCUGUUAUCAGGGAAGAACAAAUGUGUAAGUAACUGUGCACAUCUUGACGGUACCUGAUCAGAAAGCCACGGCUAACUACGUGCCAGCAGCCGCGGUAAUACGUAGGUGGCAAGCGUUAUCCGGAAUUAUUGGGCGUAAAGCGCGCGUAGGCGGUUUUUUAAGUCUGAUGUGAAAGCCCACGGCUCAACCGUGGAGGGUCAUUGGAAACUGGAAAACUUGAGUGCAGAAGAGGAAAGUGGAAUUCCAUGUGUAGCGGUGAAAUGCGCAGAGAUAUGGAGGAACACCAGUGGCGAAGGCGACUUUCUGGUCUGUAACUGACGCUGAUGUGCGAAAGCGUGGGGAUCAAACAGGAUUAGAUACCCCUGGUAGUCCACGCCGUAAACGAUGAGUGCUAAGUGUUAAGGGGGUUUCCGCCCCUUAGUGCUGCAGCUAACGCAUUAAGCACUCCGCCCGGGGGAGUACGACCCGCAAGGUUGAAACUCAAAGGAAUUGACGGGGACCCGCACAAACGGUGGAGCAUGUGGUUUAAUUCCAAAGCAACGCCAAAAAACCU
Molecule: ribosomal RNA, 943 nt
Filed under: Staphylococcus kloosii
Lineage: Bacteria; Bacillati; Bacillota; Bacilli; Caryophanales; Staphylococcaceae
Description: bacterial SSU rRNA
Rfam family: Bacterial small subunit ribosomal RNA
Source: RNAcentral